CUAAUCAUAAAUAUAAUAAUACAAGGACUAAACUACAAAAUAUACAAAAUUACAAAUCCCACCGUUUAAGCGCCUUCAUUCUUAAGGAACCAGAGAAGGCAGCUGCGUGGAAGAACAGAGAAAGAAAGAAAGAAGAAGAGAAAAAAAGGGGGAAGAAGAAGAAAAAAAAAUUGGGGCUUUAAGGUUUCUUACUCAAAUCUUCUCAAUUGGGGUCAUAAUUCUCAAAGGCAAGUGUUUCGAUCCUUUCUAUUGCAAGUGUUUCGAACAUUUCUAUUGUAAGUGUUCCGAUCCUUUCUAUUGCAAGCUUUCUAAUCUUUUCU
RNAcentral lists this long non-coding RNA (320 nucleotides) under Musa acuminata (dwarf banana). Its description in RNAcentral is "long non-coding RNA (MACU_LNC007227)". Lineage: Eukaryota; Viridiplantae; Streptophyta; Magnoliopsida; Zingiberales; Musaceae. The record is from RNAcentral.